GCCGGGCAUGGUGGCGCGUGCCUGUAAUCCCAGCUCUCGGGAGGCUGAGGCAGGAGAAUUGCUGGAACCCAGGAGGCGGAGAUUGCAGUGAGCUGAGAUCGCGCCACUGCACUCCAGCCUGGGCCACAAAGCAAGACACUGCCUCAA
Molecule: unclassified non-coding RNA, 147 nt
Organism: Macaca fascicularis (crab-eating macaque)
Lineage: Eukaryota; Metazoa; Chordata; Mammalia; Primates; Cercopithecidae
Rfam family: Metazoan signal recognition particle RNA
About the family: The signal recognition particle (SRP) is a universally conserved ribonucleoprotein. It is involved in the co-translational targeting of proteins to membranes.
Source: Ensembl